AAACUGCCCCCAGCUCUGCCACCCCCUCAAGCUCCUACACCGGCUCCCUUCCCUUCAGGACUCGACUUCCACAAGAGUCACACACGCGUGUCCACUUCCUCUUCACCCACGUGCCUGUGAGAGCCUCCUCGCACACACGCCUGCAAUCCCGAGCAGCGGGUCCGCCUGCAGCGCUCUAACGACACGAGCCUUCCACCAGCGAGGACCUGAAGCAGAAAGCAAGUGCCUGUUCCCUGCACUGGUCCUCCUCUGCACCUCGCUCUCUGAAGCGCACACUCUCCUCCUCGAAACUCCACCUUCCAGCGGGUUCGGCGUCAGGGGAAGCUUCUGGCUCUGCCUCUCUGUCCUCGCUGAUUUCUCCUCUAGUUUCUAGGAGUGGGCUAGGCAGGGACAGCCGCAAGAUACCCUAAACCUUCAGGAUGUCCUAACUUGGCAAAUGCCGGAACACCUGCAGAGGUUCGGAGCUUCCUCCUGAGUCGUGUUGGAGGCAGGGGCCCGUCUCCUGUGUUUCAGUCACUGCCACCAGGUAAGCGCUUCGAUAACUUUUGCUAAAGCGUAACUCUCACUUGAUGACCAUUUUCUACAAAGAAGUAAAUCACCUAAAUGAGAAUUACCGCCUCUACCACGAUGAGGAAGAAAAACUCAGGAUGCCGGGCAACUUGGUAGAUUCACGCCGAGCCAGGGGGCUCACUCCCGCAGCAGCCGGCCCGGUCACGCCUCGAAAGAUCUGCGAGCGCCAUGCCGUUAACUCUCAGCCUCUUCAAAACAUACAGACUCCAAGCGCCGCACCAGACACGCGAACGUCAGGGCAUCCUCCCGCUCCAGCAGCGCAGGCUCUCCGCGGCCUUCUCUUUCACCUCGAGGAUGCGACCGUCACUCCCAGGUGGACGGGGCUUCCUCUGGCACCCUGGGCUCUGUCCUCCGAUCCCGACACCAUCACGCCCACACUCUGUCGGGUGCCUCAGACUCAUAUGCCUGACACUAAUCAAUCGUCCCCAGCCCCACCUCCUCCUGCGGUUCUGAGUUGAGUCAAGGACGUGACGGGAACCUCCAAGGUACCAGAACCUAACCUUCAGGAUGAUGCUGUCCUCUGCCCUCCGGCCUGCUCCGAAGCUCCAGGCUCCCUGAGCUCAGGCCAGGCAGUGUGUUCAGUUGGCUGCCCCUGUGGCCUGCAUGUGUUCCUGUACACACACGGCAGGGGCUGGAGCGUGUCUGUGAGUGCGUGAGCUCCCCGUACACACACAGCAGGUGCUGGAGCGUGUCUGUGAGCACGUGAGCACCCUGUACACAUAUGGCACGUGCCAGAGUGCGCCUGUGAGCAUGUGAGCGCCCUGUACACACACGGCAGGUGCUGGAGUGCGUCUGUGAGCAUGUGAGCGCCCUGUACAUACAUGACAGGUGCUGGAGCGUGUCUGUGAGCGCAUGAGUGCCCUGUACACACAUGGCAGGUGCCGGAGCAUGUCUGUGAGCACGUGAAUCCCCUGGACACACAUGGCAGAUGCCGGAGCAUGUCUGUGAGCGCCCCGGACACACACAGCAGGUGCUGGAGAUUGUCUGUGAGGGUGUGAGCGCCCUGUACACACACAGCAGGUGCUGGAGUGCGUCUGUGAGUGUGCGAGCACCCUGUACACACACGGCAGGUGCUGGAGAGUGUCUGUGAGCGCAUGCGUGGCCCGUACACACACGGCAGGUGCCAGAGCACGUCUGUGAGCACGUGAGUGGCCUGUACACACACGGCAGAUGCCGGAGCACGUCUGUGAGCGCCCCGUACACACACAGCAGGUGCUGGAGUAUGUCUGUGAACGCGUGAGUGCCGGUACCCGUGGUGAAGGGACACCCUCUCAGCCUCGCUUGG
Equus caballus (horse) is the source of this 1855-nucleotide long non-coding RNA. NCBI's taxonomy places the organism in Eukaryota, Metazoa, Chordata, Mammalia, Perissodactyla, Equidae. The record is from Ensembl.